Ceratitis capitata (Mediterranean fruit fly) is the source of this 140-nucleotide small nucleolar RNA. RefSeq annotates it as small nucleolar RNA psi28S-1192. Lineage: Eukaryota; Metazoa; Arthropoda; Insecta; Diptera; Tephritidae. The record is from RefSeq and is a predicted model, not a curated record. The transcript has a single exon.
AUACAGUCCCCUCUAAUGCAAAGUAAUGUUUUAACCAAAUCACUUUGCCUCGCUUGUGGACAAGAUAAAUAUACCCCUAUUAUCCUAGCGUCUAAAUUAAAUUAUGUGUUUUGGUGCUCGAGAAACGUAGAGGUACAAGA